AUUGAACGCUGGUGAUAGGCCUAACACAUGCAAUUCGAGUGUGCGGCGGACGGUUGAGUAAUGUAUGGGGCCUUCCCGAUUGAGGGGGAUAACUACUGUAAACGGUGGCUAAUACCGCAUACCGUCGGAUUACCCAUAUUGGAUUAGCUAGUAGUUAAGGUAAUGGCUUACCUAGGCGACGAUCCCUAGCUGGUCUGAGAGGAUGAUCAACCACACUGGGACUGAGACACGGCCCAGACUCCUACGGAGGCAGCAGUGGGGAAUAUUGCACAAUGGGCGCAAGCCUGAUGCAGCCAUGCCGCGUGUAUGAAGAAGGCCCUAGGGUUGUAAAGUACUUUCAGUCGGGAGGCGUUACCGUAAGAAGAAGCACCGGCUAACUCCGUGCCAGCAGCCGCGGUAAUAC
Molecule: ribosomal RNA, 403 nt
Filed under: uncultured bacterium
Lineage: Bacteria
Description: partial 16S ribosomal RNA
Rfam family: Bacterial small subunit ribosomal RNA
Source: RNAcentral